Molecule: non-coding RNA, 227 nt
Organism: Cherax quadricarinatus
Lineage: Eukaryota; Metazoa; Arthropoda; Malacostraca; Decapoda; Parastacidae
Source: RefSeq, a predicted model, not a curated record
AGCCUGGAAAAAGGGGUGUUGUUUCAUCAAUGGUUUUAACCUGGGUCGCUACUGGCAUGUUGGUCCCACCAAGACCUUGUACUUGCCGGCGCCGUUGCUCCAGCAAGGAACCAAUGAGGUGGUGGUUUUCGAGCAGUACACGGCAGCAUCUGAGAUCGUCUUCAGCGACGUUCCCAUCCUCUCCUAAACCUGCAAUAUUAUCUUGCUAAUAAAUUCAUGGAAUAUCA